This 465-nucleotide ribosomal RNA is filed under the name salal root associated fungus UBCtra1522.1. RNAcentral's name for it is "eukaryotic LSU rRNA". It matches the Rfam family "Eukaryotic large subunit ribosomal RNA", at positions 81 to 547 of the family's 3401-position model. Lineage: Eukaryota; Fungi; Basidiomycota; Agaricomycetes; Sebacinales; Sebacinaceae. The record is from RNAcentral.
UAGUAACGGCGAGUGAAGAGGGAAAAGCUCAAAUUUUGAAUCUGGUGUCUUUGACUCCCGAGUUGUAAUCUAGAGAAGUGUUUUCCGUGUUGGACCGUGCACAAGUUCCCUGGAACGGGGCGUCAUAGAGGGUGAGAAUCCCGUAUAUGGCACGGACUGCCGAUGCUUUUGUGAUACACUCUCAACGAGUCGAGUUGUUUGGGAAUGCAGCUCAAAAUGGGUGGUAAAUUCCAUCUAAAGCUAAAUAUUGGCGAGAGACCGAUAGCGAACAAGUACCGUGAGGGAAAGAUGAAAAGCACUUUGGAAAGAGAGUGAAACAGUACGUGAAAUUGUUGAAAGGGAAGCGUUUGAAGUCAGUCGUAUCUGGCGGGAUUCAGCUGGGCUUUUGCCCGGUGUACUUCUCGUCCGAUGGGUCAGCAUCAAUUUCGAUCGGGGGAAAAAGAUGUGGGGAAUGUGGCUGUCUUC